Molecule: transfer RNA, 75 nt
Filed under: Shewanella piezotolerans WP3
Lineage: Bacteria; Pseudomonadati; Pseudomonadota; Gammaproteobacteria; Alteromonadales; Shewanellaceae
Description: tRNA-Gln
Source: RNAcentral
GUAGCAUGGUGAUUACUUGCUAGCAGCUACUUUCACCUCAGAACCGAUGAAAAUAAAGCUAAUGCCUUCAAAUAU